Molecule: long non-coding RNA, 855 nt
Filed under: Olea europaea subsp. europaea
Lineage: Eukaryota; Viridiplantae; Streptophyta; Magnoliopsida; Lamiales; Oleaceae
Source: RNAcentral
GUCAAGAUUUCCACCAGUUGAAUGCCAAACUGAAAUCGUUCCAAAUCGACCUCCAAAUCGAUAACCCUCCAGAUUUAUAAUAAACCUAGAUUCAUCCCAGAAAAAGGACAAUCAAAUUGAGCCACAAUAGUGCCAAACUCGUGUUUUGAUAGUGAGGAAUAAGAGUGACCCACAAUGUCGUUAAAUGGUUGGCAACUGUAAUGUUGAUGAAGAAAAUCGUUGGUGGAAGUAGAAGAGGGACCACAAGCAGGUAUAUUUUUAAACUUUUUGGAUGUAAUGUAUAAUAUUGUGUUCAUAACCUUUAUCUUUAUAUCAGUAAUUGAUGAAUUUAUUGGCUCUUUGUUGAUGGCCACGUUAUUUCACGUUCUUAGAAGCGGAACCACGUUUUUUUGUAUUUUUUCGGCACUUUUUAAUGAAUCUUAGCCUGCUACAUAAGUUUGUCCUCCAGUAUUUAGUUAGUUCAUCAUUUACAGUGGGCAUUUAGGUACUGCAAUGGCUGCUGAGUAUUAAUUGUUUAUAUUCUAACCAUUUUUAGUUAGUUCAUCAUUUACAAUGGGCAUUUUUAGGCUGCAUCAUCAUAUUUAGUUGCUUUAUAUUGAGGAUUUGGGCUUCAUGACGAUGAUAUGAUCCAUUUCAUUGCUUGAAAAUUUCUCAGGUUAUAUAAUGUGUGUUGACCAUUCCAUUUACCUGUUCAAUUGCAGAUAACAGACUUGAAGAAGAUGAAGUGGAACCUGAUGAAUACAAAUUGGCCGAUUCAUAAGACGAUGUUAAUGACAAUGAUUUUUCAUUACGAUAAGAAUGAAAAUGCACGGGUUUUGGUCUGUCAAUCUGUUGACUGUUUGGGACGAAAGGACA